Salmo salar (Atlantic salmon) is the source of this 1541-nucleotide long non-coding RNA. RefSeq lists it as uncharacterized. Lineage: Eukaryota; Metazoa; Chordata; Actinopteri; Salmoniformes; Salmonidae. The record is from RefSeq and is a predicted model, not a curated record.
CAAGCCCCAGCCAUCCCUCCAGUCGAAGCCCCAACACUCUCUCCAGCCCCAGCCCCAACCCUCCCUCCAGCCCCAGCCCCAACCCUCCCUCCAGCCCCAGCCCCGACCCUCUCUCCUGCCUCUGCCGCAGCCCAAGCCUAAACCUCCUCCCGUCCCCAGCCACCUAGCCCAGCAGAAAGGACCCCUCCAGGUCCUUCAUCCAGCCAUCCUGCCCCCCUGCCCUCAGUCCUCCCCCUCAACACCUCACACACACAGACCUGACCCCCCCAACAGACCCCCACCCCCCUGCCCACUCUCCAAACCCCAAAUAUCAUCAGAUGUGAUACAGAGAGGAAAGUCCAAUCUGGCGCCACCUGGUGGACAGAAGAAACCCAGCAGAUCCCAAAACAUGAUCUCAGGGAGGAGAUGAGGACCAACACUGGACCACUGAGCUCAGUGAGAUUACUGGACAUCUAACUGGGUAUCUCUUCUCUCUCUGUAAGCUGGAUGUUUUUCCACCUGUGUCCAAAGAAGUCCAUCAGCCUUUAUGAAGAACAUGACACUGUGGGAAAGGAGAGAGGAGGGCCACAGCUGGACACACAGGGUCUCAGUCCAAAAUGGCAACCUAAAAGUAGUACACUAUCUGUCCCGGGAAGCCUCCUCUGUUUCUCAGUGUUUUUAUUUCAUUCCAACAACAAAGACAAAGGAGUUGCCUGAUUAAGAAACAUCUCUGGCUACUAGGCUAGCUGCCAGGCUAUGUCCCGCCUUAUCACCUGAAGCCACUGAUUAAGAAACAUCUCUGGCUACUAGGCUAGCUGCCAGGCUAUGUCCCGCCUUAUCACCUGAAACCAGGCGUCCUGUAUACUUGUAAUAUUUAAGACUGGACUUUAUCGACUGGUUUAGUUCUUGUGGAUGCUACCUUAUACCAUGGGUUAACAGUAUCAUGUAUUGAUAUGCUGUUUCAGGUGUAUUUAUUUGCAAAGCUUCAGAGCAAAGAAACUGGUGUUUAAAGUCAAUGUACUGUAUAUGGUUUGUACAGGAGCAUGAGUCUGAAGGGAACAUCUGAUAUUACGACAACGCCACGCGCAGAAUGAUGCUUAAUGCUUCUAGUAUGUGAAUAAAUGAUAGGCUGGAAUUUUAAGGACACAAACAUGCAUGUUGUUAUUACAACAUGUGUAUGCCUAUGACGGGAGACAUCUCAAAUGUUGCAGUAACUAUUAGAAAAUGAUAUAUUGUUUUGGUAUGACUGUGGGGUUUUUUUUGUAUAUUGUACUGUUCUUGUUGUGUUGGGUGCUAAAUUCAGGUCUUCUGACUGAAUGAAUGUAAAUUUGUACACCUUGAAGGUUAAUUGUUCCUAUAUAACUACAUACCAGUAUGUUAUCUUUUGAAAUGUGAUGCAUAGGACAGCAGAAUCAACCCAGCUAUAGUCAGGCCCCUAAAGUCUAUGUAUAUAAAAUAAUCUGGUUUUCUUUGAUAUAUUGUUGAAAUUCACCAUCUACCAUCGGACCUAUGCAAACAGUGUGCCUUCAGUUUGAUUUGAAAUAAACUGUUUAAAAACAGGA